This 452-nucleotide ribosomal RNA is filed under the name uncultured bacterium. Its description in RNAcentral is "bacterial SSU rRNA". It matches the Rfam family "Bacterial small subunit ribosomal RNA", at positions 29 to 526 of the family's 1533-position model. The record is from RNAcentral.
AGCGAACGCUGGCGGCAGGCCUAACACAUGCAAGUCGAACGGACCCUUCGGGGUUAGUGGCGGACGGGUGAGUAACACGUGGGAACGUGCCUUUAGGUUCGGAAUAGCUCCUGGAAACGGGUGGUAAUGCCGAAUGUGCCCUUCGGGGGAAAGAUUUAUCGCCUUUAGAGCGGCCCGCGUCUGAUUAGCUUGUUGGUGAGGUAAUGGCUCACCAAGGCUACGAUCAGUAGCUGGUCUGAGAGGAUGACCAGCCACAUUGGGACUGAGACACGGCCCAAACUCCUACGGGAGGCAGCAGUGGGGAAUCUUGCGCAAUGGGCGAAAGCCUGACGCAGCCAUGCCGCGUGGAUGAUGAAGGUCUUAGGAUUGUAAAAUCCUUUCACCGGUGAAGAUAAUGACUGUAGCCGGAGAAGAAGCCCCGGCUAACGUCGGGCCAGCCGCCGCGGUAAAAC